RNAcentral lists this unclassified non-coding RNA (978 nucleotides) under Hevea brasiliensis (rubber tree). Lineage: Eukaryota; Viridiplantae; Streptophyta; Magnoliopsida; Malpighiales; Euphorbiaceae. The record is from RNAcentral.
UUUUUUUGUGAAAAAAAAUUGAUUUCUUCACCAACAUUUGCCUUUUAACUAUGAAAAAACAAAAUUCUGUGAAACAAAACAGAGCCAGAAGAGUAUACAAAGUUAUUCAGCAAGAAAAUUUUCAACAUGUGCAGGUCAAUUCUCUGUGCUUCCAAGAUAAUUCUCAGACGCCUACCUCCCUGAUGGUAGCUAUCAUGUGGUGCACAUGAAACAAUAAUUUAAUGAUCAAUCAGCUGGCUCAAUGCCAGACAGCUCAGUUUCAAUCUGUUGGAAAUGUGCAAAGCAGACCAUGUCCAAGACUCUGCUCCAAAGGAUACAUUGUUGUGCCUUUAACAAAUUUUUGAUGAUCAACAGCUGCUUUUCUGAGAUUUAAAAUAGCUGUAGACCUUUUAAUUUGCUUCUUUCUAAUGGAACAUGUGGCCAGUGGGACUACAGAUCCUGCUCCAACCCUCCUCAACAAUUUCUCUGACGCAACUCUAGCAGCUCUAAUUGUGCUUGAGCUUGGUACCCAUUGGACAACAUGGUCCACAUCAGCUCGCAUUGGAGAAUGGAUUUUAAUAAGACCCAAACACUCCAUCAUCUGGUAAUAAGCCCUUCCAUGCAGAGGAGUAUGACCUUGUCGAGACUCUGAGAAAUAUCUGGUCCAUUCCUUGUAUCCAGGAUCCACAGUAAAACCAUACAUAUCAACAGACUCACAAAUAGAAAGUGCAAAUUCAAGAGCCUUGAGGCCAGUUCCCUUCGCUGCCGACCCAAAGGAUGCACCUAACAUGAGAUACACGGGAUUGUUUAUUGGAACAUCCCGAAUCAUCUUGUUCAUAAUGUCAUGUAUUGUUGUUUUGAUUAUCAGGGCCUCCUUCUUUGUUUCAUCUAACUCCACAACUUUAUCAAGGGCUUUGGCAGAUCCUCUGUUAAGAAGACGAAAUGUACUUUUCUUGCCAACAUACUCUGUAUAGUUCUGUAUGGGGGCGCCAUUUUCUC